RNAcentral lists this long non-coding RNA (2996 nucleotides) under Homo sapiens (human). Its description in RNAcentral is "mir-100-let-7a-2-mir-125b-1 cluster host gene, transcript variant 12 (MIR100HG)". The record is from RNAcentral. Lineage: Eukaryota; Metazoa; Chordata; Mammalia; Primates; Hominidae.
ACAGUUUAACAUUUUCUUUAGUGGUGCAACCUUGUUCUGAGAUUACAGGGAAUGCUGAGUUUUAUUAGGGUUCUUUCAACAAACUCAUUUAAUUGUUGCUGCCCCUUAGCUAGUGCUGAGUCACUCUCAAACUUCACAGCAUUCCACGACAGCUCAUCCUUCUUGACUUUCCUUUUUUUUUCCCUUUUCCUUUUUCCUUUUUUAAGUUCUCUUAAUAUUUUUUAUUCCCAACAGACUUGUCUUUGGACAAAAUUGAGAAGAACUCAUAAACUUGGCUUCCUCGCUUCUGCUCCUCAGACGCGCGUGGAUGAUUUGAAGAUAUUAGCCUAACAAGAUGGAAGCAGGUUUAAAAUUUUACAUAAGAAGUUACCUUUUUCAGCUGGUCCUAUAGUACCCCUCCUCAGGAAUGUCUCCCCAGUGCAAGGACAAAGACUGAAGAGACUGCUAUAUUGAUGGACUCUCAAGCCAACUAUGAAGUUGAAACAAAGAAAGUGAUCACCUGAAGACACCUCCUCUGCUAAGAAACACCCCCAAAUUGUGCAGCUUCUGCCACUAGAACUCUCAGAACAAGAGACAAUCUUUUCAAGAAACAGAAAAACUCAAUAAUGACAUCUAGAUUUUCAUGAGCCAAGAACUUUCCCUUCCUCAUGUGUAUUCCUCUGUUUGUACUUAAAUUCAUGUGACAUUCAUUUUUUUCCUAGUAUGGAUAUGCUUAUUAAUGCACUUGUUUCAAAAUCCCAAAUUGCACAAAUGUGUUAAUAUUUUAAGAAACAAAAUGAAUCCUACAAGGAGAAUGAUUUUUAGCCACACAUAGGGUUGGAUCUUGAGAGUGACCUACAGAAUAAAAGUACUUUUAAAAUAAAGUAGUCAGAGGCUAUUCAAAGGGUAAAAUAAUCAUAGUACCACAUUGGUCCACUUGACACUAACCAAUCGAUCAUUUUUUUUUAAUCAAGAAAGCUAGAUUCUAUCAGAUAAAAUCACUGCUUCUAAAGAGUUUAAAUCUAGUUAGAAAAAGUUAUAGAAAUGUUUGCAAAGAUAAGUAACAGAUAGAGUCAGUAGAGGAUAAGAUCAAAAACAAAACCAAGCAAAAGAUGAGUUCAGGGGAGUUUGCCAUCAAGUUGGCAAAACUGACUUACUUAGGGAAGAAAGUUAUAAAACAGGAAAAUAUGAGAUGAACCUUGAGUGAUGUGGAAGAUUUAGAUAAAUGGAAAGGAAGGAGAAAAUGGAGUUCUUUAGGUGGUUGUAAUUGGAGGAGGAAAUGAAUACACACAUCUUGUUGACUUAAACCCAGACAUUCAGCAGCUCUCUAUACAUAUCUGGAAAAGACUGCACAGUCACCUCCUGUCUCUCACCCCAGGUAUUACUUAGAAUUAUUAUCAUAUUUCCCUUCCUUUAAAGUAAGUAAGGGUGAUUGGUGACAAUAUGGAGAACUAUGAUUUUUCCAUUAACCUAAUAAUAAUUGGUAUUUAUUGAGUUCUGUUAAGCAUUUUACAUAUUAACUCACUUAAGCCUUUCAACAGCCUUGCAAAAUAGGUAUUAUUAUCCCCAUUUUACAGGCAAGAAAACUGAGGUUUAAGUAACUUGCCGAAGUGCCAUAUACAGGGCUCACAUUCAGUAUUGCAGUUGCAAAGCUCAUGAUCUAUAGUGCCAAGUUGCAAUAUUGUAGUCAAUGUCACAAUUAUUACCCCUUUUUAUAUUCCUUGAUAUUUUUCCAUGGCAAACAAUUAGCUAUUUCAUUUAAUAAUCACCUAAAACUUUUCAGUCUUCUGAUUAAAAUUACGCUGGAGUGAUAGAAUGUAUUUUCAUGAUAGAAAUUGGGAAAAAAAAUGGGGAAUGAAGUUUAUCAGCAUUUCAGACUUGUUUUUUUUUUUUUUUUUUGCAAGACUUUGAUGAGAUUGUUCACUUUUGUCUAUGUAAAAUCCCAAAUCCUUGAGAAUAAAAAAGGGGGAGGUUUAAGUCACUUGUUGCAAUGCCCUUUUUAAUAGAGGCAAUAAAUCUAAAGGCCAUAAAUUUAGAGUGACUUACAGAAGAUCGAACUUUGGAGUGUGGCAGAGUAAGGGAUGGAAACCGGGCCCUCCAGUUCACUAUCAGUAGCUUUUGCACUGGUCUGCCCUUCCUAAAUUAAGUAUGCACUUCAAUUUGAUGAGUGGAAACAGUCUAUCUGGGCAGUAACCAGGGAGCUUUGUGCCUAGUAGAUUGCUUCUGUUCUGCACUUCUUUGGUUUCCCACCUCAAUGUAAAAAAUAGCUAGCAAUGAAGUCCAGAAGUUGUCAAUGGUUCAUCCCCAGAAGAAUGCAUAAUGUCCAAAGUUGUAUGUGUAUGAUGUCUUCAAUGGUAUUAAGUUAUUUCAAAUUCUUAGUUCACCUACAUAAAUCAUUUCUAACAAGCAUCUUCUUAACCAACUUUAUGCACAGUGUAUGUUUGUAAGUGCUUCUGCACGAAUGUUUAUACAUGACUGUUUCCAUAGUACUUAUGUUUUUAAAAAUAUUCAGUCAUUUCCUACUAUAAUCCUCAUGUAUCCAUGUAACUGACUCAAAAAUACUUCAGCCACAGAAAGCUAAAACUGAGCAAAUCUCAUUCUUCUUUUCCAUCCCCUUUGCAUGUGGCUGGCAUUUAGUAAUGAUUAAUAAUAUGGCCAGCUGAAUAACAGAGGUUUGAGACACAAUUCUUUCUCAAAGGAGUCAGCUAAGCUGGGUCUACUUAUGGACAAACAUCUAAAUGUGUGGAAGUAUCUGAUAUUUGACAAUGGUAAAUUUCCACUUAGCUAGCUAGCAUUGUCAGACUUCAAUCUCCUCAUGGCUCUGGCCGUCCUGUUUUAAGCAUGAUAAUUGUUGGCCACAUCUCACAUAGUUCUCAUUGAGUGAGUUCAUAAAUAAACAGGGUUUUUUUUUUUUUUUAAAGAGCAGCCAAGCACAAAGUGUGACUUUGUUGACAUUUUAUGUGACUUUGUCAUAUGUUCCUAACCCCCAAUAAAAGCAAUGUUGCAUCAACUGUGAA